Plodia interpunctella (Indianmeal moth) is the source of this 941-nucleotide long non-coding RNA. RefSeq lists it as uncharacterized. Lineage: Eukaryota; Metazoa; Arthropoda; Insecta; Lepidoptera; Pyralidae. The transcript has 2 exons. The record is from RefSeq and is a predicted model, not a curated record.
ACGUGUGUCGCUGGCUUGUCAUUCGACUUGGUGGGUGUCGCUUCAAUAAGUUUUAGCCCCAGUCACAGAUUACAUAAUACCCCAGUACCCCAGUGUACCAUGCUGAAAUAUUUUCGUCCAACAUGCGUCGUUUCGAAGUCAUUCGACACCAAGUAGGCACCCGUUUAACAAAGGUUUGGGUUCUUUGAGCAUAACACUGUCCAUGCACAAAAAAUGAUUGACACUGAUAGCAGAUAAAAAUGAUAAGUGUCACUAUUGAAAAAUAGACGAUCAUAAGUGUAAAAAAAAUGGGUGUGUAAAUUUCUGUAACACAAAAAUCAAUAAACCAUAAGCCGAAAUGAACCAUAACUAGCAGAGGAACUGCACAUUUUCCACUUCAUAUCCAAUAUAGUAUGGACUAAAAAGGAGCUCUCUAUUUUGCAAUGGCACCUUCUAUGCACCCCCCUUGCACGCCCACGGCGUCGUGUCAACCGAUACGUUGCCACCCCACUCCACCAAUUUGCAGUCGUCCAGAAAAAUGUUUGCGAAAGACCAUCUCCAAAGGAGUCAGGCCAUGCCCGAGCGCAGCUUCUAUCAUGGCAACAAGAUCCAAGGCACAAUGCGGCUCAUGUUGUGCUUCCGGUUGCGGCAAAUAUCAAGGAGAAAAUAGACCAAGACGGGUUAAAAGUGUCGAGAAGUAUCUUAAAAAGAAAAAGAAGGAAAAUAAAAUGAAAAGAAGAGAUCGUAUAUAUGGAACUCACUCAUAUCUAAAUUAUACUAGAAAAAAGGGUUCUACAAGGUCAAGUAUAAGUUGCUGUGCCGGAAAGGGUCACAGAGGGAGACUGAGACGGAAACGUUGUUGUACCAUACUGUAAAGUUCUUACCCACAUACCUACACAAUGUUUUACAAUUUCACAUAUACCUAUAUAUCAAAAUAAAGUACUUCAAAUAAUUUCUGUUAA